CCUACGGGAGGCAGCAGUGAGGAAUAUUGGUCAAUGGUCGGGAGACUGAACCAGCCAAGCCGCGUGAGGGAUGAAGGUACAGAGUAUCGUAAACCUCUUUUGUCAGGGAACAAAGGCGGGGACGUGUCCCCGGAUGAGUGUACCUGAAGAAAAAGCAUCGGCUAACUCCGUGCCAGCAGCCGCGGUAAUACGGAGGAUGCGAGCGUUAUCCGGAUUUAUUGGGUUUAAAGGGUGCGCAGGCGGUCUGUUAAGUCAGCGGUAAAAGCCCGGGGCUCAAACCCGGCCCGCCGUUGAAACUGGCAGUCUCGAGUUGGAGAGAAGUAUGCGGAAUGCGCGGUGUAGCGGUGAAAUGCAUAGAUAUCGCGCAGAACUCCGAUUGCGAAGGCAGCAUGCCGGCUCCACACUGACGCUGAGGCACGAAAGCGUGGGUAUCGAACAGGAUUAGAUACCCUAGUAGUC
This 459-nucleotide ribosomal RNA is filed under the name uncultured bacterium. Its description in RNAcentral is "partial 16S ribosomal RNA". It matches the Rfam family "Bacterial small subunit ribosomal RNA", at positions 338 to 795 of the family's 1533-position model. The record is from RNAcentral.